AUGGCCAGAGGGGUCACAGUGACACUCCUGCUGCUGCUCAGUCCAGCAUUGGCUAAUCAGGUCACCCAGUUCACAUCUAUAGAAGCGAUUGAAGGUGACGAUGUGGCUCUCCAAUGUAACCACAGCAGUGUGACUUCUUCAACCAUCUUCUGGUAUCAGCAAAUCCUCAGCCAGGCACCGGAACUCGUGCUGGGAGGCUACUCCAGUACCAGAAGUGCCAAGGCCACGUUAACCAUCCAGGAAGACAGAAAAAAAUCCAAUAUCCUGACACUGCACAACAUCCAGGUGACAGAUUUAGCUGUGUACUACUGUGCUCUGACUACUUAUGACUCUACGAAUAAGGUGAUAUUUGGACAAGGAACGAGUCUAACUGUAAAACCAAAUGUCACCAACCCUCAGCCAAGAAUGUACCAUCUGAAAAAACCCCGAGUGAACGACUUGUCCGUUUGCCUGUUCACUGAUUUCGGCAAUGAAGAAGUUAAUAUGAUGGGAAUAAAUAAUAUCAAGAGGACUCCCAGUAUGGUGGCUGAGAAGAGACUGGCUUCCAAGAGUCUCGGCAUUGUGGCAUGGAACAACAAUCUGGAUUGGAAGUGCCAAGCAAAGAUUUCCAACAUAACGUACAGCUUGUCCAACAGCUCAGGAAAAGUGUGCAACACCACAGCUGUGACCGAAAACUUCUCAUCAGACCCAUACCUGAACUCCAUAAACUUGGCCAUGAUUUUCCUCCGCGUCAUCUUCGUGAAGACCGUGGGCUUCAACCUGCUCAUGACCCUGAAACUGUGGUCAAGUUGAAGUUCUGCCCCCUUCAGCUCCUUCCUUCCUGUUGAGCAAGAGGAGCAAACACACCCAUUGACAGUCAUCACAGUGGAAGAUCUUCCAUCUCCCGCAGAACAUCCCGCGAGGACCACGCCCAGCACCCAAGGGCACCUGAACUUGAAAGCAUCCACCCGGCCUCCCUUCCUGUUGUCAUUUCCAAGAUCGGCCUGGACCAGGAGGCCUGGAAACACCCCCCCUGCAACCCUCCCAGCCAUAACCAAAACCCACGUCUAAGAACACCCCUCAGCGAUGCGAUGGGGGGUGUCCGUCGUCUCCUUCUGCCCUAGGACUCUUGACCUUCAACCUUCCAGCUGUAAUUAAGCCCUGCUAAAGAGUUUUUUUUAUUAUUUUUAGUAGAAUUGGGAAAGGAAUCCAUUGCACUUUCUCUUAAGUUUUGGAAAAGAUUGUAUCCCUAGCCACGCCCGCUGGAUCCCAGCAGCCUUUGACUUCUCACCGCCGCCUCGAGCAUUAAGCUUCAUUAAAAACCUUUCUGACCAGCA
This is a non-coding RNA of Ornithorhynchus anatinus (platypus), 1316 nucleotides long. The record is from the annotation of a RefSeq genome assembly. Lineage: Eukaryota; Metazoa; Chordata; Mammalia; Monotremata; Ornithorhynchidae.